AGCCACUGACUAACGCACAUUGUGCUGCGGGACCCACUGUGCGUGUGACAGCGGCUAC
This 58-nucleotide microRNA precursor is filed under the name Sarcophilus harrisii (Tasmanian devil). RNAcentral's name for it is "Sha-Mir-210_pre stem-loop". It matches the Rfam family "mir-210 microRNA precursor family", at positions 15 to 73 of the family's 96-position model. Lineage: Eukaryota; Metazoa; Chordata; Mammalia; Dasyuromorphia; Dasyuridae. The record is from RNAcentral.